RNAcentral lists this ribosomal RNA (500 nucleotides) under uncultured bacterium. RNAcentral describes it as "bacterial SSU rRNA". It matches the Rfam family "Bacterial small subunit ribosomal RNA", at positions 29 to 513 of the family's 1533-position model. The record is from RNAcentral.
AACGAACGCUGGCGGCGCGUUUUAAGCAUGCAAGUCGGACGGCAAGGCGGGUAGCAAUACCUGCCCUAGAGUGGCGAACGGGUGAGUAACACGUAGGUGAUCUACCUCUGGAUGGGGGAUAGCCUGUGGAAACACAGGGUAAUACCGCAUGAGGCUUCAGGUGUAAAGGCUUGGAGUGAAAGGUGCAAUUGCAUCGUCUGGGGAUGAGCCUGCGGUCCAUUAGUUAGUUGGCGGGGUAAGAGCUCACCAAGACUCCGAUGGAUAGCCGGCCUGAGAGGGUGGACGGCCACACUGGAACUGAGACACGGUCCAGACUCCUACGGGAGGCAGCAGCUAAGAAUCUUCCGCAAUGGGGGAAACCCUGACGGAGCGACGCCGCGUGGAUGAUGAAGGCCGUAAGGUUGUAAAAUCCUUUUGUCGGUGAAGAAUAAGCGUGGGAGUGGAAAGCCCACGUGAUGACGUUAGCCGACGAAUAAGCCCCGGCUAAUUACGUGCCAGCA